GGGCGUGUAGCUCAGUUGGGAGAGCGCUAGAAUCGCACUCUAGAGGCCAGGGGUUCGAAUCCCCUCACGUCCA
Non-coding RNA from Moorella thermoacetica ATCC 39073, 73 nucleotides. The record is from Rfam. Lineage: Bacteria; Bacillati; Bacillota; Clostridia; Neomoorellales; Neomoorellaceae.